AGUGAACGCUGGCGGUAGGCCUAACACAUGCAAGUCGAACGGAAGCACAGUAAGAGCUCGCUCCUACGGGUGGCGAGUGGCGGACGGGUGAGGCAUACAUCGGAAUCUACUUUUUCGUGGGGGAUAACGUAGGGAAACUUACGCUAAUACCGCAUAUGACCUACGGGUGAAAGCAGGGGAUCUUCGGACCUUGCGCGAUAGAAUGAGCUGACGUCGGAUUAGCUAGUUGGCGAGGUAAAGGCCCACCAAGGCGACGAUACGUAGCUGGUCUGAGAGGAUGAUCAGCCACACUGGAACUGAGACACGGUCCAGACUCCUACGGGAGGCAGCAGUGGGGAAUAUUGGACAAUGGGCGAAAGCCUGAUCCAGCCAUACCGCGUGGGUGAAGAAGGCCUUCGGGUUGUAAAGCCCUUUUGUUGGGAAAGAAAAACAGCAGGUGAAUACCCCGCUGUUCUGACGGUACCCAAAGAAUAAGCACCGGCUAACUUCGUG
This 492-nucleotide ribosomal RNA is filed under the name uncultured bacterium. RNAcentral's name for it is "partial 16S ribosomal RNA". It matches the Rfam family "Bacterial small subunit ribosomal RNA", at positions 29 to 507 of the family's 1533-position model. The record is from RNAcentral.